GAUGAACGCUGGCGGCGUGCCUAAUACAUGCAAGUCGAGCGAACAGACGAGGAGCUUGCUCCUCUGACGUUAGCGGCGGACGGGUGAGUAACACGUGGAUAACCUCCCUAUAAGACUGGGAUACCUUCGGGAAACCGGAGCUAAUACCGGAUAAUAUAUUGAACCACAUGGUUCAAUAGUAAAAGACGGUUUUGCUGUCACUUAUAGAUUGAUCCGCGCCGCAUUAGCUAGUUGGUAAGGUAACGGCUUACCAAGACAACGAUGCGUAGCCGACCUGAGAGGGUGAGCGGCCACACUGGAACUGAGACACGGUCCAGACUCCUACGGGAGGCAGCAGUAGGGAAUCCUCCGCAAUGGGCGAAAGCCUGACGGAGCAACGCCGCGUGAGUGAUGAAGGUCUUCGGAUCGUAAAACUCUGUUAUUAGGGAAGAAGAAAUGUGUAAGUAACUAUGCACGUCUUGACGGUACCGAAUCAGAAAGCCACGGCUAACUACGUG
RNAcentral lists this ribosomal RNA (497 nucleotides) under uncultured bacterium. RNAcentral describes it as "partial 16S ribosomal RNA". It matches the Rfam family "Bacterial small subunit ribosomal RNA", at positions 28 to 507 of the family's 1533-position model. The record is from RNAcentral.